UACGGGGGGGGGCAAGCGUUGUUCGGAAUUACUGGGCGUAAAGGGCUCGUAGGCGGCCAACUAAGUCAGACGUGAAAUCCCUCGGCUUAACCGGGGAACUGCGUCUGAUACUGGAUGGCUUGAGGUUGGGAGAGGGAUGCGGAAUUCCCGGUGUAGUGGUGAAAUGCGUAGAUAUCGGGAGGAACACCAGUGGCGAAGGCGACUACCUGGCCUGUUCUUGACGCUGAGGCGA
This 232-nucleotide ribosomal RNA is filed under the name uncultured bacterium. RNAcentral's name for it is "partial 16S ribosomal RNA". It matches the Rfam family "Bacterial small subunit ribosomal RNA", at positions 524 to 756 of the family's 1533-position model. The record is from RNAcentral.